RNAcentral lists this ribosomal RNA (595 nucleotides) under uncultured eukaryote. RNAcentral's name for it is "SSU rRNA". It matches the Rfam family "Eukaryotic small subunit ribosomal RNA", at positions 501 to 1102 of the family's 1831-position model. The record is from RNAcentral.
UCUUGCAAUUGGAAUGAGUACAAUUUAAAUCUCUUAACGAGGAUCAAUUGGAGGGCAAGUCUGGUGCCAGCAGCCGCGGUAAUUCCAGCUCCAAUAGCGUAUAUUAAAGUUGUUGCAGUUAAAAAGCUCGUAGUUGGAUUUCUGGUGGGAGCACGGGUCGGCCCUCACGGGUUGUACUGUUGUUGCGUCCUGCCGUUUCGGAGGGAAUGGCCUCGCUAUUAAGUUAUCGUGGUCGGGAACUCUGUCGUUUACUGUGAAAAAAUUAGAGUGUUCAAAGCAGGCCUUCGCUGUGAAUACAUUAGCAUGGAAUAAUAAGAUAGGACUGUAGUGCUAUUUUGUUGGUUUGCGUACUAUGGUAAUGAAUAAUAAGGAUAGUUGGGGGUAUUCAUAUUCAAUUGUCAGAAGUGAAAUUCUUGGAUUUAUGGAAGAUGAACUACUGCGAAAGCAUUUACCAAGGAUGUUUUCUUAAUCAAGAACGAAAGUUAGGGGAUCGAAGAUGAAUAGAUACCAUCGUAGUCUUAACCAUAAACUAUGCCGACUCCGGAUUGGCCGACGUUGAAUUAAUGACUCGGUCAGCACCGUAUGAGAAAUCAAA